RNAcentral lists this ribosomal RNA (493 nucleotides) under uncultured bacterium. RNAcentral describes it as "bacterial SSU rRNA". It matches the Rfam family "Bacterial small subunit ribosomal RNA", at positions 903 to 1397 of the family's 1533-position model. The record is from RNAcentral.
AAAGGAAUAGACGGGGACCCGCACAAGCAGUGGAGUAUGUGGUUUAAUUCGAGGCAACGCGAAGAACCUUACCAAGGCUUGACAUCCCGCGACAUCCAUGGAAACAUGGCUUUCCCUUCGGGGACGCGGAGACAGGUGGUGCAUGGUUGUCGUCAGCUCGUGUCGUGAGAUGUUGGGUUAAGUCCCGCAACGAGCGCAACCCCUAUUGCUAGUUGCCAUCAUUAAGUUGGGCACUCUAGCGAGACUGCCGGUGAUAAAUCGGAGGAAGGUGGGGAUGACGUCAAAUCAUCAUGCCCCUUAUGUCUUGGGCUACACACGUACUACAAUGGCCGUUACAGAAGGAAGCCAAGCCGCGAGGUGGAGCGAAUCCUAAAAAGGCGGCCUCAGUUCGAAUUGCAGGCUGAAACUCGCCUGCAUGAAGUAGGAAUUGCUAGUAAUUGCAGGUCAGCAUACUGCAGUGAAUACGUUCCCGGGUCUUGUACACACCGCCCGU